This 109-nucleotide ribosomal RNA is filed under the name Candidatus Hepatincola sp. Av. The record is from RNAcentral. Lineage: Bacteria; Pseudomonadati; Pseudomonadota; Alphaproteobacteria; Rhodospirillales; Candidatus Hepatincolaceae.
UGGUGAUUAUAGCGAAGAGGAAACACUUGAACCCAUACCGAACUCAACAGUGAAGAGCUUUAGCGCCAAUGGUACUAUGUCUUAAGGCAUGGAAGAGAAGGUCAUUGCC